GAUGAAGAACGUAGCGAAUUGCGAUAUGUAAUGUGAAUUGCAGAAUUCAGUGAAUCAUCGAAUCUUUGAACGCACAUUGCGCCCGCCAGUAUUCUGGCGGGCAUGCCUGUUCGAGCGUCAUUUCAACCCUCAAGACCCCUUCGGGGGACUUGGUGUUGGGGACCGGCACAGGGGCCUGCCUGCUUGUCUUGCAGCGCCCUCGCCGCCCCCGAAAUGAAUUGGCGGCCUCGUCGCGGCCUCCCCUGCGUAGUAGCACAACCUCGCAACGGGAACGUGACGGCGGCCACUGCCGUAAAACAACCCCAAUUUUAUUAGAGUUGACCUCGAAUCAGGUAGGAAUACCCGCUGAACUUAAGCAUAUCAAUAAGCGGAGGA
This 375-nucleotide unclassified non-coding RNA is filed under the name soil metagenome. RNAcentral describes it as "partial contains 5.8S ribosomal RNA, internal transcribed spacer 2, and large subunit ribosomal RNA". The stretch from base 1 to 120 matches the Rfam family "5.8S ribosomal RNA", at positions 35 to 154 of the family's 154-position model. The record is from RNAcentral.